ACUUCGCACUUAGUCCCUUUAAAAGAUUUGUUUUAUUUAUAACAAUAACGAUAAAUAUUGUAAAAUUUAUAUAAAACGAACAAUGUAUACUAUCGAACGAGCUUAUAUUUAUAUUUUGUACAUCUUGUAUGUAGGUAAAGACAAUCAAUUACAGGGUGUCCCCCGAAACAUGACAGUAACAAGACAACUUGAAGACGACUUUCAUGUGGGACAACCUGUAACUUAUCAGUUACUUCAAUUUUUCACAGUCUGCAUUUAUUUGAUUUAAUUUCAUUUAUUUUUGAAAUAAUUUUGUUUUAUUAUGUAAAUUAUUUAUUGUACUUUGUUUGUUUAAAUAUGAAAAUUAAGAGAAUGCAAUUUUUAUUCUAACUUUCGUGUUUUACAUUUAGUUCUUGAAUUUAAUCUUAAUUUUAUAUUUAUACUUUUUCUUGUAUUUCUUUAAAAUGACAUAUAUAUCAAAUAUAGUAUCUCGUAGUAAACAAUAUAAUUUCGCAGGGAAUGAAAUGUCGUCUUCUAGAGAUAAAUUGUUGUAUUUGUGAUUUUUUGUACGAUUCUUGAAACCAUUAAAUGAAUAGUCCUGGCAAUUCAAAAUGUUGUCGACCUUUUUUUUUGCAAAAUUAUCGAAAAUAGAAAAAUCUGGUUCAAUUUUUCAAAUGAACCCAGAAUAGUCAAACUUUAAACAUUUUUGUAAUUUUUAAGACGCAAGCUUAAUUUGAUUAUAUUUGUUUCACAAUUGUAUGCUUAAUUUUAUAUUAUUUAAUUCUUUGAAAGUUUUUGUUUCCGAUAAAUGAAUUUAGAUCACAGUGACGUCAUCUAGUGAAUCUAAAAAGUACUUUUUUCUUAAAGGGAAAGUAAACGUAAUAUCAUGUAACCCUGUAUUUAAAAGACGGCUUGUCAAUUUGGAGUUCUUUAUAAAAAUUGACUUGCGCAUUUCUGCACACUCAACAACGGGGUUUAAUUGUCAGAAUCAAACGUUUUUCAAUCUAUGAACAAUAUCUAUAACCACAGUGUUAAUAAAACUAAAGUUUAACGGAUACCUUUGCAGAUCGACAUGUCCCUCUUUUAAUGGUUGGUCACUUGAACUGCUUGGAAUACUUGAAAUUAAAGUCCCUUGAAGUUUGCUUGACUGCUUGGAAUAUAUUAUUAUUAUUAUUAUUAUUAUAUAAUAUAUAUAUUUUACUUGUGA
Molecule: long non-coding RNA, 1186 nt
Organism: Eurytemora carolleeae
Lineage: Eukaryota; Metazoa; Arthropoda; Copepoda; Calanoida; Temoridae
Exons: 2
Source: RefSeq, a predicted model, not a curated record